CACAAUUUUUCGCCCACUUGUCUGGGGCGUUUUAGCAUUGGAAAGAUGAAUUAAAAUGGCCAAUGCUUGCUGGAGUUUUGCUGUUAUUAUGGUCUUUGUGUCAGCAACACGUUCUUCAAUACGAACCUUCAACACAGAAUUUCUUAGAGACAUCCAAGAUCCAACCAUUGGCAUCAGCUCGAUUUGAUCCUCACUAGAUGUUCUAGCCCUCCUAGUAUUACGAUCACACGCAGCUACCAGAGUAUUGAUUGUGAUACUGAUCACUCCCUGGUGUGCAGUAGAGUAAAAUUGCAAACAAAGAGAUUGUAUCAGAUGAAAAAGGAAGGAAGACCACGCAUUGACAUCAGCAAGACUCGCGAUCAAAGAAAAGUGGGGGAAUUUGCCCAAGCACUUGAGGAAACCCUGCCAGGCCCGGCUGAUGCAAAUGCACGUGAACGAUUGGAACAUUUCAAGAACGCUGUUUAUACCACCGCCUUGUCUACAUUUGGCAAGAAAACCAAAAAGACAGCUGACUGGUUCAAAGCCCAUUUGGAGGUGUUGAUGCCAGCCAUGGAGGAUAAGAGGAGAGCUCUAGCAGCAUAUAAAGCCCGUCCUAGUGCGUACAACUUGCAAACUCUUCGAGCUGCUUGUAGCCAGGUCCAACAGGCUGCCAGGAAAUGUUCCAAUGAUUAUUGGCUUCAGCUCUGCUUUCAGAUACAGUUAGCAGCAGACACAGGUAACAUCAAGGGAAUGUAUGAUGUUAUCAAGCAGGCUUUAGGUCCAAUACAGAAGAAAUCUGCUCCCUUGAAGUCUGCUACAGGCGUGAUCAUCCAAGACCGUGCACAGCAGAUGGAACGCUGGGUGCAGCACUACUCUGAGCUACAUUCUAGAGAGAAUGUAGUAACCGAAGAGGCAUUAAAUAACAUUGAGUGCCUGCCUGUCUUGGAAGAGCUGGACAGCGAACCAACCUUAGCAGAAAUAAAAGCGGCCUUGGAUUACCUCGCCUCUGGCAAGGCACCUGGAAAGGAUAACAUCCCUGUUCAAGUGCUGAAGCGCUGUAAAGAGACCAUCUCCAC
This 1055-nucleotide long non-coding RNA is filed under the name Pogona vitticeps (central bearded dragon). RNAcentral describes it as "lncRNA (ENSPVIG00000004887.1)". Lineage: Eukaryota; Metazoa; Chordata; Lepidosauria; Squamata; Agamidae. The record is from RNAcentral.